UGGAAGUUGUAUGCAAAUGACGUGAGAGCCUGUUCUUCUAGAAGGGCGGUGUGUAAGUAUAAACAACGUCUUCUAGAAAGAGCAGCAAACAUCAUCAGUUCCAAAAUUCAGACACAAGUCCAAGCGUGAAAGCUAUUACACUUGUGUUGUCUCAGGCUAUUCAUUUUCUCACUCAACAUAGAGAUUCAUGAAUCAAAAUCAUUU
Arabidopsis thaliana (thale cress) is the source of this 204-nucleotide RNA transcript. RefSeq lists it as uncharacterized. The transcript is spliced from 2 exons. The record is from RefSeq. NCBI's taxonomy places the organism in Eukaryota, Viridiplantae, Streptophyta, Magnoliopsida, Brassicales, Brassicaceae.